Molecule: ribosomal RNA, 253 nt
Filed under: uncultured bacterium
Lineage: Bacteria
Description: partial 16S ribosomal RNA
Rfam family: Bacterial small subunit ribosomal RNA
Source: RNAcentral
UACAGAGGUCCCAAGCGUUGUUCGGAUUCACUGGGCGUAAAGGGUGCGUAGGUGGUGGGGUAAGUCGGAUGUGAAAGCUCGGAGCUUAACUCCGAAAUUGCAUUGGAAACUACCCUGCUAGAGGGUCGGAGGGGGGACUGGAAUACUUGGUGUAGCAGUGAAAUGCGUAGAUAUCAAGUGGAACACCAGUGGCGAAGGCGAGUCCCUGGACGACUCCUGACACUGAGGCACGAAAGCUAGGGGAGCAAACAGG